RNAcentral lists this transfer RNA (72 nucleotides) under Trachymyrmex cornetzi. It matches the Rfam family "tRNA". From Rfam's summary of the family: Transfer RNA (tRNA) molecules are approximately 80 nucleotides in length. Their secondary structure includes four short double-helical elements and three loops (D, anti-codon, and T loops). The record is from Rfam by way of RNAcentral. Lineage: Eukaryota; Metazoa; Arthropoda; Insecta; Hymenoptera; Formicidae.
GCCUCGGUGGUCUAAUGGCUUAGGACGCUCGUAUGGAAACAAGAGGUCCGGGUUCAAGUCCCGGCUGAGGUC